RNAcentral lists this long non-coding RNA (231 nucleotides) under Sorghum bicolor (sorghum). RNAcentral describes it as "long non-coding RNA (SBIC_LNC006989)". Lineage: Eukaryota; Viridiplantae; Streptophyta; Magnoliopsida; Poales; Poaceae. The record is from RNAcentral.
CGGCCUUCGCGCCACUGCUUUCACUAACGUAGGGGCCCGUGUCACCUUUGGUCACGCCGCAGGGGCGUGUCAUCAGGAACCACGACGCAUCGCUCCGUUCUCAUCGUCCGUGACGUCGCAGCCAGGCUACUCAGUCCGUUGGCCUCGCUCCGCCACUGUGUCGUGCUCCAGGCAGCAGGAGGCCUCCGCCACCUUCCUCGCGUUCGUCAAGGUCGACCCCUUUUUGCACUU